RNAcentral lists this long non-coding RNA (275 nucleotides) under Homo sapiens (human). Its description in RNAcentral is "HSALNT0300127". The record is from RNAcentral. Lineage: Eukaryota; Metazoa; Chordata; Mammalia; Primates; Hominidae.
CGAGCAUCUUCCUUUGUUGUCUCAGCAUCUCUUUUUGAACCCAGGCAUAAGAGAAGGCCCCUGUGUCAUUGAUAGGUUCAUGGCACAUCAACGAGUGUGACUGGGGAGUGCUGGCAAAUCUACAGUUGAACUGCCUAAUAAUUUGUGGCAUCAGAACCAUGCAGGAGACAAACAAAAUGACUUAGACCUUCUGUGUGAUCUCACGAGGGUUGUGUUGUAGGGCUCCUGUAAUAAGAAAUGGAGGUCUCAUCAUGUUUCCCCGGCUGGUCUUAAAC